RNAcentral lists this ribosomal RNA (440 nucleotides) under uncultured bacterium. RNAcentral's name for it is "partial 16S ribosomal RNA". It matches the Rfam family "Bacterial small subunit ribosomal RNA", at positions 338 to 795 of the family's 1533-position model. The record is from RNAcentral.
CCUACGGGAGGCUGCAGUGGGGAAUAUUGCACAAUGGGGGAAACCCUGACGCAGCGACGCCGCGUGAGUGAAGAAGUAUUUCGGUAUGUAAAGCUCUAUCAGCAGGGAAGAAAAUAACGGUAUCUGAUUAAGAAACCCCGGCUAACUACGUGCCAGAAGCCGCGGUAAUACGUAGGGGGCACGCGUUAUCCGGAUUUACUGGGUGUAAAGGGAGCGUAGACGGCAGCACAAGUCUGGAGUGAAAUGCCGGGGCUUAACCCCGGAACUGCAUUGGAAACUGUGCAGCUUGAGUGCAGGAGAGGUAAGUGGAAUUCCUAGUGUAGCGGUGAAAUGCGUAGAUAUUAGGAGGAACACCAGUGGCGAAGGCGGCUUACUGGACUGUAACUGACGUUGAGGCGCGAAAGCGUGGGGAGCAAACAGGAUUAGAUACCCGAGUAGUC